This 305-nucleotide ribosomal RNA is filed under the name uncultured bacterium. Its description in RNAcentral is "bacterial SSU rRNA". It matches the Rfam family "Bacterial small subunit ribosomal RNA", at positions 333 to 654 of the family's 1533-position model. The record is from RNAcentral.
UUGGGCCUACGGGAGGCAGCAGUGGGGAAUAUUGCACAAUGGGGGAAACCCUGAUGCAGCAACGCCGCGUGAGUGAAGAAGUAUUUCGGUAUGUAAAGCUCUAUCAGCAGGGAAGAAGAAAGACGGUACCUGACUAAGAAGCCCCGGCUAACUACGUGCCAGCAGCCGCGGUAAUACGUAGGGGGCAAGCGUUAUCCGGAUUUACUGGGUGUAAAGGGAGCGUAGACGGCAUAGCAAGUCUGAAGUGAAAGCCCGGGGCUCAACUCCGGGACUGCUUUUGAAACUGUGUUGCUAGAUUGCAGGAG